This 582-nucleotide ribosomal RNA is filed under the name uncultured Sordariales. Its description in RNAcentral is "eukaryotic LSU rRNA". The stretch from base 231 to 384 matches the Rfam family "5.8S ribosomal RNA". The record is from RNAcentral. Lineage: Eukaryota; Fungi; Ascomycota; Sordariomycetes; Sordariales.
GGAAGUAAAAGUCGUAACAAGGUCUCCGUUGGUGAACCAGCGGAGGGAUCAUUAAAGAGUUGCAAAACUCCCUUCACAACCCUCGUGGACGAACACCCCGACACCCGUUCCCUUCGGCGGGAAAGGGCGACCCCCUCAAGGGGGGGUCGCCCGGCCGCCGGGGGGCCGCGGGCCCCACGCUCUUGUAUUUUCGCCGGCAUCUCUGAGUACGAUUUAUGCAAAUAAGUCAAAACUUUCAACAACGGAUCUCUUGGUUCUGGCAUCGAUGAAGAACGCAGCGAAAUGCGAUAAGUAAUGUGAAUUGCAGAAUUCAGUGAAUCAUCGAAUCUUUGAACGCACAUUGCGCCCCCCAGUAUUCUGGCGGGCAUGCCUGUUCGAGCGUCAUUUCGACCAUCAAGCCCUGCUUGCGUUGGGGUCCUGCGGCCGCCCGCAGGCCCUGAAAACCAGUGGCGGGCUCGCUAGUCACACCGAGCGCAGUAGCACAUCUCGCUCAGGGCGUGCGGCGGGUUCCAGCCGUGAAAAGACCCCCUUUUGACGUUGACCUCGGAUCGGGUAGGAAUACCCGCUGAACUUAAGCAUAUC